This is a long non-coding RNA of Taeniopygia guttata (zebra finch), 1031 nucleotides long. RefSeq lists it as uncharacterized. The record is from RefSeq and is a predicted model, not a curated record. NCBI's taxonomy places the organism in Eukaryota, Metazoa, Chordata, Aves, Passeriformes, Estrildidae.
GGGCGGGGGCGGCCGGGGCGGGCCCCCUGAGCCCCCCGUAGCCAACAUCGGGGUUACCAUCGCCUUUACCUUCGAGUGAUUCAAAGCACAGUGAGUGAAGUGGGAGCAAAAGUCAAUCCCUCAGGAAUGCUGCAAUGUACAGUGCCACACUGCUUGGAGAUAUUUCCGUCCUGCAGACUCAGAUAAAUACACAAGAAGAAGAGGUUAAACAUAUCUCCUCCCCAUGCCGGUGGCACGCAAGACCUCUGCAGCAGGAUCGCUGUCAGGUUCUCUUUGCGCAGACAGAUCCCUGCGGAGCCACACGUCCGCAGGGGCCGCCGCAGUGCCCGUGCUCCCUGGGAGGGAAGGAGCGGGCUGGGGCUGGCCCAUGGUGACACUCGCAUCCCGUGGCAGUCCCACGGCCGGAUGGGGAAGCGCGUCCCGGCCGCGGGGACGGGGAGCGACGCGAACAGCGAGGCGAGAAACGCGCCCGCAAAGCGCUCCGGAGCCAGAGGCACCCCGCGAACCCCCGCGUCCUGACAGCGCCCAGCGCCCUUCCAAAACUCUGAUCCAGUUCAGAGUCCUGCUCCGAAUGUAGUGGCUGUUAAAAAUAGGUUAGAAGCUAUUGUAAAAUAGUUGAUAGUUGUUAAGCAUGUACUGUUAGUUUGGUUAUGGUAAAAGGGGUUAAAAGGGAAGUUAGAAGAAAUACGGUGCUCAACGUACCAUAAUACACCUGAAUAAAGCGCACCACCCCCCAAGCGAAAUGAGCCAGCCUGGACAGAACUGUCAUGGGCCAAUCAACCGCAUUAAACCUUCAUGCAAAUGAAGGAUCCAAAAAGAAACCAAUCCAAAAGGACAAAAAACAAAAUAAAAAGGGGGCUUCUGACCCACUGAACCCGCGCCGCUCCACCUCGAACAUCGGGGACAUCGCUGCUCAGAACACCCGGCGCCGGUGCUGCAGUAUCCUCGACGGGAACGCCCCUGCUCAGCCCGCGGGCCCCCUUGCUUUAGGCCUUUCUUUUUUAUUAGAAUAAAUGCUGCAAUCACGUCUA